UAAGGAAUAUUGGUCAAUGGACGAAAGUCUGAACCAGCCAUGCCGCGUGGAGGAUGAAGGUCCUCUGGAUUGUAAACUUCUUUUAUAUGGGACGAAAAAAGGCCUUUCUAGGUCGUCUGACGGUACCAUAUGAAUAAGCACCGGCUAACUCCGUGCCAGCAGCCGCGGUAAUACGGAGGGUGCAAGCGUUAUCCGGAUUCACUGGGUUUAAAGGGUGCGUAGGUGGGUUGGUAAGUCAGUGGUGAAAUCCCCGAGCUUAACUUGGGAACUGCCAUUGAUACUAUCAGUCUUGAAUACCGUGGAGGUCAGCGGAAUAUGUCAUGUAGCGGUGAAAUGCUUAGAUAUGACAUAGAACACCAAUUGCGAAGGCAGCUGGCUACCCGAAUAUUGACACUGAGGCACGAAAGCGUGGGGAUCAAACAGG
Molecule: ribosomal RNA, 424 nt
Filed under: uncultured bacterium
Lineage: Bacteria
Also listed under: 1 other name
Description: bacterial SSU rRNA
Rfam family: Bacterial small subunit ribosomal RNA
Source: RNAcentral